RNAcentral lists this ribosomal RNA (1022 nucleotides) under Fictibacillus barbaricus. RNAcentral's name for it is "bacterial SSU rRNA". It matches the Rfam family "Bacterial small subunit ribosomal RNA", at positions 26 to 1034 of the family's 1533-position model. The record is from RNAcentral. Lineage: Bacteria; Bacillati; Bacillota; Bacilli; Caryophanales; Fictibacillaceae.
UUAUGAGGGCGUGCGGCGUGCUAUACAUGCAGUCGAGCGAAUGACGAGGAGCUUGCUCCUCUGAUUUAGCGGCGGACGGGUGAGUAACACGUGGGUAAUCUGCCUGUAAGACGGGGAUAACUCCGGGAAACCGGGGCUAAUACCGGAUAAUAAGAAGAAACGCAUGUUUCUUUUUUGAAAGUCGGUUUCGGCUGACACUUACAGAUGAGCCCGCGGCGCAUUAGCUAGUUGGUGAGGUAACGGCUCACCAAGGCGACGAUGCGUAGCCGACCUGAGAGGGUGAUCGGCCACACUGGGACUGAGACACGGCCCAGACUCCUACGGGAGGCAGCAGUAGGGAAUCUUCGGCAAUGGGCGAAAGCCUGACCGAGCAACGCCGCGUGAGCGAUGAAGGCCUUCGGGUCGUAAAGCUCUGUUGUUAGAGAAGAACAAGUACGAGAGUAACUGCUCGUACCUUGACGGUACCUAACCAGAAAGCCACGGCUAACUACGUGCCAGCAGCCGCGGUAAUACGUAGGUGGCAAGCGUUAUCCGGAAUUAUUGGGCGUAAAGCGCGCGCAGGCGGUCUCUUAAGUCUGAUGUGAAAGCCCACGGCUCAACCGUGGAGGGUCAUUGGAAACUGGGAGACUUGAGUGCAGGAGAGAAAAGUGGAAUUCCACGUGUAGCGGUGAAAUGCGUAGAGAUGUGGAGGAACACCAGUGGCGAAGGCGGCUUUUUGGCCUGUAACUGACGCUGAGGCGCGAAAGCGUGGGGAGCAAACAGGAUUAGAUACCCUGGUAGUCCACGCCGUAAACGAUGAGUGCUAGGUGUUGGGGGGUUCCACCCUCAGUGCUGAAGUUAACACAUUAAGCACUCCGCCUGGGGAGUACGACCGCAAGGUUGAAACUCAAAGGAAUUGACGGGGCCCGCACAAGCAGUGAGCAUGUGGUUUAAUUUCGAAGCAACGCGAAGAACCUUACCAGGUCUUGACAUCCUCUGACCACCUCUAGAGAUAGAGCUUUCCCCUUCGGGGGACAGAGUUG